RNAcentral lists this ribosomal RNA (611 nucleotides) under uncultured bacterium. RNAcentral's name for it is "bacterial SSU rRNA". It matches the Rfam family "Bacterial small subunit ribosomal RNA", at positions 338 to 951 of the family's 1533-position model. The record is from RNAcentral.
CCUACGGGAGGCAGCAGUAAGGAAUAUUGGUCAAUGGACGCAAGUCUGAACCAGCCAUGCCGCGUGAAGGAUUAAGGCCCUCUGGGUUGUAAACUUCUUUUAUAGGGGACGAAAAAAGGGCAUUCUUGCUCACUUGACGGUACCCUAGGAAUAAGCACCGGCUAACUCCGUGCCAGCAGCCGCGGUAAUACGGAGGGUGCAAGCGUUAUCCGGAUUUACUGGGUUUAAAGGGUGCGUAGGUGGGUUGGUAAGUCAGUGGUGAAAUCUUCGAGCUUAACUCGGAAACUGCCAUUGAUACUAUCAAUCUUGAAUCAUCUAGAGGUAAGCGGAAUAUGUCAUGUAGCGGUGAAAUGCUUAGAUAUGACAUAGAACACCAAUUGCGAAGGCAGCUUACUAUGGAUGUAUUGACACUGAGGCACGAAAGCGUGGGGAUCAAACAGGAUUAGAUACCCUGGUAGUCCACGCCCUAAACGAUGGAUACUCGACAUUUGUGAUAUACUAUAAGUGUCUGAGCGAAAGCAUUAAGUAUCCCACCUGGAAGUACGACCGCAAGGUUGAAACUCAAAUGAAUUGACGGCUGGAGNGNGCGACGACGACGACGAGGGAGGAGG